RNAcentral lists this ribosomal RNA (98 nucleotides) under Nomascus leucogenys (northern white-cheeked gibbon). Lineage: Eukaryota; Metazoa; Chordata; Mammalia; Primates; Hylobatidae. The record is from RNAcentral.
AGCUACAGCCACACCACCCUGAACGUGUAUCAGAUCUCAGAAGCUAAGCAGGGUCGGAGCUGGUUAGUAUUUGGACAGAAGAUUGAUCUUUGGAGAUU